RNAcentral lists this ribosomal RNA (843 nucleotides) under Triticum aestivum (bread wheat). RNAcentral describes it as "partial small subunit ribosomal RNA". Lineage: Eukaryota; Viridiplantae; Streptophyta; Magnoliopsida; Poales; Poaceae. The record is from RNAcentral.
AUGGCGUCGUCCCCGGUCUCCUACUGGUGCUACCACUGCAGCCGCUUCGUGCGGGUCUCCCCGGCCACCGUCGUCUGCCCCGACUGCGACGGCGGCUUCCUCGAGCAGUUCCCGCAGCCUCCGCCGCCGCGCGGCGGCGGCGGCAGCGGCCGGCGCGGGGCCAUGAACCCGGUGAUCGUGCUGCGGGGCGGCUCGCUCUCCGGCUUCGAGCUCUACUACGAGGACGGCUCCGGCGACGGGCUGCGGCCGCUGCCCGGCGACGUCUCGCACCUCCUCAUGGGGUCGGGGUUCCACCGCCUGCUCGACCAGUUCUCGAGGCUGGAGGCUGCCGCGCCGCGCCCGCCGGCGUCCAAGGCCGCGGUGGAGUCGAUGCCGUCCGUGACGGUCGCCGGGGGAGGCGGGGCCCACUGCGCGGUGUGCCAGGAGGCCUUCGAGCCCGGCGCCGCGGCUCGGGAGAUGCCGUGCAAGCACGUCUACCACCAGGACUGCAUCCUCCCCUGGCUCUCCCUCCGCAACUCCUGCCCCAUCUGCCGCAGCGAGCUUCCGGCGGCAGCCGUGCCUGAGGCGGAGGCGGAUGCCGGGCUCACCAUCUGGCGACUCCCCCGCGGCGGAUUCGCCGUUGGAAGGUUCGCCGGCGGGCCCAGAGAGCAACUGCCGGUUGUCUACACGGAGCUGGAUGGUGGUUUCAGCAACGGCGUCGGGCCGAGGCGGGUGACAUGGCCAGAAGGAGAAGGGCAGGUGGACGGCGGCGAAGGUCGGAUUCGCCGUGUAUUUAGGAACCUGUUUGGGUGCUUUGGCCGGGGCGGCCGGCCUGAGAGUUCCUCGCAGUCCCGUAGUGGCUGA